GGACUCCUUGAGACGGAUCAAGUUCGCGGGGGAAUAGUAUUUGUCCUGGCUCAAUUGAAUUGCUGGUGGCAUGAUUUAAACAUGCAGUCGAACGGUAACAGGUCUUCGGAUGCUGACGAGUGGCGAACGGGUGAGUAAUACAUCGGAACGUGCCUAGUAGUGGGGGAUAACUACUCGAAAGAGUAGCUAAUACCGCAUGAGAUCUACGGAUGAAAGCAGGGGACCUUCGGGCUUGUGCUACUAGAGCUUCUGAUGGCAGAUUAGGUAGUUGGUGGGGUAAAGGUUACCAGGCCUCCCCUCUGUAGCUGGUCUGAAAGACGACCCGGCCCCUGGGACUGAAACACGGCCCCAAUUCUUACGGAAGGAGCAGUGGGGAAUUUUUGACAAUGGCGAAACCUGAUUCAACAUGCCCGUGGAAGAUGAAGGCCCUCGAGUGUAACUUGUUUUGGUAAGAACGAAAGCCUGGGGCUAAUAUCCCCGGGUCUUGCCGUCCCGUAAGAAUAAGACC
Molecule: ribosomal RNA, 508 nt
Filed under: uncultured bacterium
Lineage: Bacteria
Description: bacterial SSU rRNA
Rfam family: Bacterial small subunit ribosomal RNA
Source: RNAcentral